This 1310-nucleotide ribosomal RNA is filed under the name Chaetothyriales sp. TRN107. RNAcentral's name for it is "LSU rRNA". It matches the Rfam family "Eukaryotic large subunit ribosomal RNA", at positions 73 to 1406 of the family's 3401-position model. The record is from RNAcentral. Lineage: Eukaryota; Fungi; Ascomycota; Eurotiomycetes; Chaetothyriales.
GAUUGCCUUAGUAACGGCGAGUGAAGCGGCAACAGCUCAAAUUUGAAAUCUGGCCUUAUGGUCCGAGUUGUAAUUUGUAGAGGAUGUUUUGGGUACCGUUGCAGUUUAAUUUUCUUGGAACAGAAUGUCAGAGAGGGUGAGAGUCCCGUCUGGAACUGCGGUAGGGCCUAUGUAAAACUCCUUCGACGAGUCGAGUUGUUUGGGAAUGCAGCUCAAAAUGGGUGGUAAAUUUCAUCUAAAGCUAAAUAUUGGCCAGAGACCGAUAGCGCACAAGUAGAGUGAUCGAAAGAUGAAAAGCACUUUGAAAAGAGAGUUAAACAGUAUGUGAAAUUGUUGAAAGGGAAGCGCUUGCAACCAGACUUGAGCGUGGCGGUUCCCCCUUGCUUUUGCUUGGGCUACUCCGUCAUGUCCAGGCCAACAUCGGUUCUAGGGGCUGGUUAAAGACUUUAGGAAUGUAUCUACCCUCGGGUAGACUUAUAGCCUAGAGUGUCAUGCAGCCUCCCGGGACCGAGGAACGCGCUUAGGCGAGGAUGUUGGCGUAAUGGUUGUAAGCGACCCGUCUUGAAACACGGACCAAGGAGUCUAACAUCUAUGCGAGUGUUAGGGUGUCAAACCCUUACGCGGAAUGAAAGUGAACGGAGGUAAGAAGCCUUAAGGCUGCAUUAUCGACCGGUCCUGAAGUUUACGGAUGGAUCUGAGUAAGAGCAUAGCUGUUGGGACCCGAAAGAUGGUGAACUAUGCCUGAAUAGGGUGAAGCCAGAGGAAACUCUGGUGGAGGCUCGCAGCGGUUCUGACGUGCAAAUCGAUCGUCAAAUUUGGGUAUAGGGGCGAAAGACUAAUCGAACCAUCUGGUAGCUGGUUCCUGCCGAAGUUUCCCUCAGGAUAGCAGUAACGUUUUCAGUUUUAUGAGGUAAAGCGAAUGAUUAGAGGCCUUGGGGUUGAAACAACCUUAACCUAUUCUCAAACUUUAAAUAUGUAAGAAGCUCUUGUUGCUUAAUUGAACGUGAGCAUUUGAAUGUACCGUUACUAGUGGGCCAUUUUUGGUAAGCAGAACUGGCGAUGCGGGAUGAACCGAACGAGAGGUUAAGGUGCCGGAGUGCACGCUCAUCAGACACCACAAAAGGUGUCAAUGCAUCUAGACAGCCGGACGGUGGCCAUGGAAGUCGGAAUCCGCUUAGGAGUGUGUAACAACUCACCGGCCGAAUGCAUUGGCCCUGAAAAUGGAUGGCGCUUAAGCGUGUCACCUAUACCUCUCCAUAACCGUUUACUGGAAGCGAUUAUGAGUAGGCAGGCGUGGAGGUGCGUGACGA